RNAcentral lists this long non-coding RNA (4935 nucleotides) under Nicotiana tabacum (common tobacco). RNAcentral's name for it is "long non-coding RNA (NTAB_LNC009664)". Lineage: Eukaryota; Viridiplantae; Streptophyta; Magnoliopsida; Solanales; Solanaceae. The record is from RNAcentral.
UCUCUUCAGAACUAGACAAAUCCUAAACAAAUCCGCCGAGGCUGUCCUCUAAGGCUUUCGUCUCUCUCGUCUUCAAACUAUCCGGCAUCGACGAACUGUUUUGCUUACUCCGACGAAGGAAUUCUGACGAAGGACAACCAUUUCGGCUAAUAUAAGGGAAUCUCAGAUGUAGAUUAUCAGUAUUUUUCCAUGUUCAUGGUUGUUCGCUUUCGUUAUUGUUUCACCGGAAAAUUGUUCGCCGCUUCUUCUGCUUUCUUUCUCUAGUAAGAUUUCAUCUAAACCCAUUAAUUUACUCUGUCCUUUGUUUGUAUUAUAUGAUUUCUAGUUUUUGAUUUCAUCUAAACCCAAUUUUUUUUGAUUUCUAGUUUGUAAAACUGUAAUUAUCUAGUUAGUUGGAAAAAUAAGUUAAACUUUAUUUAGGGUUUUUGAGGUAUUUUCAGUUGAUCUGACUAACGGGAAGGAUUUGAGCACCAAAAUACAUGAUCUGUCAUUUUAUACUAUCGACAGACUAUACAAGCAUAGUGUUACAUUAAGGGCUUUCUUAUUAUUUGUUGCUACUUGACUCUUCGUGUUAUCGAUCACAUUUUAUCUAUUAGUUUUAUGUGUUGUUACUGUCUGUCCUUUUGCAUUUGCCUAAUUUCCAUGAACUUCCACUCUACAAACCUAUUCAUCAGUGUGAAGACACUCUUAGUGCACUCAAAUCCCAAUGCUGCAACUAGUUGUCUCUGUAUGUAAUUAGCCACCUCAUAGCUAGAAUUUCCACCAGCACAAGUCAAAUCUUUGGGAAUUUUUCCAAUGAUCUCAAUAGUGUAAGAAGGUCUUGGAUUCAUCAAGAAGAAAAUAGGGUCCAAACACUUGAGACCACUAGCAGCAGUCCCAUAAAACAUGGUCACAUUUGUGUUCAUAGCCACAAAUGUACAAUCUCAUCAGCUAAUUCUGCAAACAAGGAGCUGAACCUUAAAAGAUAUGGCUUCCUGCAUGUGGUUCCUUUUAGACAAACAACUAAGUCACCUGUAAGAUAAUACAAAUAACAGACAGUAAAAAAAAUUACUUUUAAGACGUGAUUAAAUAGCUAAUUGUCCAUGUACAAAAAUAUACAUACAAGUCCAUAUAUUAAAUUUUUCGAACAUUACCUUCGCUAAAUAUUGCUAAUAGUAUUCCAAUUGGAAGCCAAAUGAACAUGGCUAAUGUUGCAAGAGGUGUAGGUAGAAAAGCUAGCCUUCCAUCAUGAAAUACUAGUGGCUUUGGAUAUUUCUCCCUUGCCAAUACUGAACUACUACUUUUUUUGUCCUCCUUGUUUACCACGUAAGCUUCCUGUUCAAUAGAAAGAUGUAUUUAGACACACUAAAAAAGAAAAAAAAUAUUGAUAUAAAGUAGAUUACAAUGAGUAAUAAAAUGUUGUUGACUUAAAUCACCAUUUUUCGCUUAAUGAGUUAACUAAAAGUGCACAGUCCUCGGCCUUGAAAUCGUAAAUUAUUACACAAUCAAACAUCUUGUUGUGAUAUCCCUGAACUAGAUACUAAUCCAGUAAAAUAACUCCUAACAGUAUGCAACUCAGUUCCUUUAACACAAUCAACACUCAAAUACUCUUUAAGAAAAUCUUCCACCAUAACUCUAGGCACACUAGUGAAAACCACCCUACACCCUGCUGAUUUUAAAACCUCAUAAACAUGAACAUUUAAAUUUUCAAGAUAAAACUUAGGCAAAACAGCUCUUCCAACACUGUCCAUGUCCUUUAAUCUUAACUCACAAAAUGUAAUAAAGAUCAUAACUCUUAGUUUAAGUUCAUAAUCAAGAACCAAUAAAAGGGGACUUGACAAAAGUAAGAACAAGGCUCUAAAAAUGCUACCACCUUCAAAAGCAACUAACAUGAAAUAUGGAAAAAAAGAUUCAGAUCUAAGAAGUGUGCCUUGAAUGUCACAUGCAACUGUUUUUAAUUUUCUCCCAUAUAAAGUACACUUGCUUAUACUAGGGUACAAAGGAAUUUGAUGAGAUGAUCUAAAUGAUGAGUUUCUGGAAAAGAAACCAGAGUCUUUAACUUUUACUACAACUUUGUAACAUGAUUUUUUUAUUAAGAGUAUGUAAAUCAAUUUUAUAAUAUUUAUUUUGGUGUCAUAUAGGAUAAAAGUAAUUUAAUGGAUAACGGAGAUAAAAGGUGAAUGGGCCUUUGAAGGCCAACUGAUGAGUACAUACAAUGAGUGAAUAAAUUUCUUAAUAAAGCAUUUGAAUGAGCUUCCCAAGGAAAUCAAAUAUUAUGCCCUUGUAAAGAGUGCGCUAAUUGUUUUUGGCAUCAUAGGAAUGUGGUGGAAGACCACUUGAUUGUUAAUAGUUUUGUUCAUGGAUACAACAAAUGGGUUUUUCAUGGGAAAGAAUUUUCCUCGAGAAAGACUCCAUGCCCAAGCAGUAAUGAUAAUGGUUCUGACAUGUAUGACGAUAUUGAUGGAUUACUUCAUGAUACAUUUUGAAGUGUCAAGGCUGAUUCGGGACAUACAGUGUAACGACCCAGCCAGUCGUUUCAUGAUUUACCACUCUAUUUCCCCCAUUUUUGCUUCUUUAUGUCUUGUUUAGCUGUAUUAUAUGGUAUCAGGUUAGUUGAUUCGGGUUCAAAAUGGUUUUGGAGAGGUUUGAGACACUUAGUUUUUUUGAGUAAGCUUAAAUUAAAAAAGUCAACAAGACGUUAACUUAUGUGAAAAAGAGCUCGGAUGUGAAUUCUGAUGAUUUAGAUAGUUUUGUUAGGUGAUUUGGGACUUAGGAGCAUGAUCAGAAUUUAAUUUGGAAGUUCGUGGUAGAUUUAGGCAUGAAUUAGCGAAAUUGAAAUUUUGGUGUUUUCUGGUCGAUAGUGAAAUUUUUUAUAUCGGGGUCGGAAUAGAAUUUCAAGAGUUACAGUAGGUCCGUUGUGUCAUAUGAGAUGUGUGUGCAAAAUUGCAAGUCAUUCGGGCGUGGUUUAAUAGACUUUUUGAUUGUUUGCGGAAUUUGGAAGUUUUGGAAAUCUUAGGCUUGAAUCCGAGGGUGUUUUGAUAAUUCGAUGUUGUUUGGAGUGUUCUGGAGGUUGGUAUAAGUUUAAAUAGUGUAAUAUGACUUGUUUGUAUUUUUGGUUGAGGUCUCGGGGGCCUCGGGGUAAUUUCGGGUGGUUGACGAGAGGUUUGAAGUUGGAAUUAGCUGCUGAAGUGCUGAAGCUCUUGUCAUAACCAUACAUGCACCUUGGAGACCGUAGGUGCGGGCCCGCAGAAGCAAAAAAGGGAAUGCAGAUGCAGACAAAGGAAUGGAUGACUAUAGACGCAGAUGGGGGGUUUUAAUCACAGGUGCGAUCCUUGGGAGGAUAAGUGGAAUCCGCACAUGUGCACCUGGGACCGCAGAUGCGAGAUUUCGACCGCAAAAGUUGUUUAGCUAGGGCAAAACAUAUAAAUUUAGCCCUUCGCGAUUUUUGAGUGGGUUUUCACCAUUUUCAUGCGGGUUUGAGCUUGGGAGAGAAAUUUGAAGAGAGAAUUCAAGAAGGUUUCGUGGAGGUAAGAUUUUUGGACCCUAAACUUAUUUCUAUGAUGGUUUUUGACUAAUUAAGUUUGAAAUCUAUGGAAAUUAGUAGCAGAAAUUGGGGGUUUAGGGCUUGGAAAUUGGAGACCCUAAUCUAGGGAUUUGAGGGGUCAUUUGUGGUGGGAUUUUGGUAUUCUUAGUAUGUAUGAACUCGUGAGAGUGUAAGGAUUGUAGUUUUAUGAAUUUUAUCAGAAUCCGAGAUGUGGGUUAGGGGUCGGGUUUGACCUAUUUCAGGAUUUGUGAUGUAAUUUGAUUAUUUUCGCAUGGGUUUUGUCCCCUGAGUAUAUAUUGAUGUUAUGGUUCUGAUUUUGGUUAGAUUCGGGGCAUUUGGAGGCCGAAUCAAGAGGAAAGGGCGUUGCGGGCUAGAAUUUGGCUUGGCUUGAGGUAAGUAACGCUUCCAAACUUGGUUCUGAGGGCUCGAAACCCCAAACUAUGUGUUCUAUGAUUACUAUUUAGGUAACACAAUUCCAUGUAACGGGUGUGUGGGCGUGCACCGUGAGAAAUGUGGCCUGGAUCAUUCCAUGGCACCGCUUAGUGAAUCUUUUAUACUGAUAUCUGUGUCGUAAUUAUGUAAUUAAGUUAAUAAGCUACAAAUCUUGCUAAUUAUCAUGUUAAGGCUUCAUGCCAACCUUGUUGAGACCCGAGAGAUCGUUUCUUGUUGUCAUGUAAUUAGCUUCAUUUAUAUCCUAUAAUCAAUCCUGUUCAUGCAUAUUAUAUCAUGCCUCAGUCUCGAUUACUGCGUCUAUAGACAUAUCAUAUCAUUUUUCGGGCUUGUAUCAUGAUUUUGUUAGCCCGUGUGUGCGAUGCUAGAGAGUAUUCACUAAGUGAGGCCGAGAGCCUGAUAUUGAUUGACGAUAUGGGAUCGGGCUGCACGUGCAGCGAGAUAUUGAUCAUUCCUUCGUUGACAUUGAUAUAGUGCUUGGGCUCAGAGAAGCGCAAUUGAUGAUAUUGAGGGAUGGAUCUUCCAUGGACAUGGAUCUUGUCCGAAGUAUUGGUAUGGAGAUGGAUCUUCUCCGUGAGGCUGGAUUGGUCUGUUUCCUCGGUACUGGGUGCCUUAUAGUCAGUGAUGUAUAUAUUCUGGGAUGAAUCUUCCCUGGGCCAUAUACAGUACCAAGUGGUUGAGCAUUGUGCGUGGAAGUAUUAUACGCAACAAUGAUCAUGCUAUCUUUGCAUUGGUACUUAGGGGUACUUGAGCUUUAUACUCUGCAUUGUUCAUACUAUGUUGGACUUGGGUCGUCACUAUCGUCAAUCCAUAGUUUGGACUUGUUACUUACUGAGUUGGUGUACUCACGUUACCCCCUGCAACCCUGUGUGCAGAUCCAGGUAUCUCGGGGCACGGUAGUAGUUGUUGAUCACACCAGUUGGAGACAUUCUGUAGAGAUUGCGAGGUAGCUGCUUGGCGAC